Molecule: ribosomal RNA, 447 nt
Filed under: uncultured bacterium
Lineage: Bacteria
Description: partial 16S ribosomal RNA
Rfam family: Bacterial small subunit ribosomal RNA
Source: RNAcentral
GUCCAGACUCCUACGGGAGGCAGCAGUGGGGAAUAUUGCACAAUGGGGGAAACCCUGAUGCAGCGACGCCGCGUGAGCGAUGAAGUAUUUCGGUAUGUAAAGCUCUAUCAGCAGGGAAGAAAAUGACGGUACCUGACUAAGAAGCCCCGGCUAACUACGUGCCAGCAGCCGCGGUAAUACGUAGGGGGCAAGCGUUAUCCGGAUUUACUGGGUGUAAAGGGAGCGUAGACGGCAAUGCAAGCCAGAUGUGAAAGCCCGGGGCUCAACCCCGGGACUGCAUUUGGAACUGUGUAGCUGGAGUGUCGGAGAGGCAGGCGGAAUUCCUAGUGUAGCGGUGAAAUGCGUAGAUAUCAGGAGGAACACCGGCGGCGAAGGCGGCCUGCUGGACCGUGACUGACGUUGAGGCUCGAGAGCGUGGGGAGCAAACAGGAUUAGAUACCCGCGUAC